Non-coding RNA from Vicia faba (fava bean), 318 nucleotides. The record is from the annotation of a GenBank genome assembly. Lineage: Eukaryota; Viridiplantae; Streptophyta; Magnoliopsida; Fabales; Fabaceae.
AUGGAUCUGGGUCGGGCCCAAGGCAAAGGGUUUCGGUGCGAGACAACGGCAGGGAUGAAGAGGGAGGGAGUGAAAGCGGAAAGUGGUGGUCUGUGUAUGGUCGUGGUUCGACAGAGAUGCUCCCGUCAUGGUGUUGUCGGAGUUGUAAUGAAAAUGGUUGUGCGACGUGGAUGUCCGAGGGAUUCUGAUCUGAAACAAAUUUAUUUUCGAAUUUCAACCAAUUUCUUUUGUUUCUCUUUUUCUUUUUUGUAUUGUUCUCUCCCCCUCGUUCUCUGUAAUGUUGUUUAUUUUUAUAAUGAUUUUAGGAAUUCGAUUUAG